This 353-nucleotide unclassified non-coding RNA is filed under the name soil metagenome. RNAcentral describes it as "partial contains 5.8S ribosomal RNA, internal transcribed spacer 2, and large subunit ribosomal RNA". The stretch from base 1 to 120 matches the Rfam family "5.8S ribosomal RNA", at positions 35 to 154 of the family's 154-position model. The record is from RNAcentral.
GAUGAAGAACGUAGUGAAAUGCGAUAAGUAAUGCGAAUUGCAGAAUUCAGUGAAUCAUCGAAUCUUUGAACGCACAUUGCGCCCGCCAGUAUUCUGGCGGGCAUGCCUGUUCGAGCGUCAUUACAACCCUCAGGCCCCCGGGCCUGGCGUUGGGGAUCGGCGGAAGCCCCCUGCGGGCACAACGCCGUCCCCCAAAUACAGUGGCGGUCCCGCCGCAGCUUCCAUUGCGUAGUAGCUAACACCUCGCAACUGGAGAGCGGCGCGGCCACGCCGUAAAACACCCAACUUCUGAAUGUUGACCUCGAAUCAGGUAGGAAUACCCGCUGAACUUAAGCAUAUCAAUAAGCGGAGGA